AUGCUCUCUUUGGCAGCACCUCCACUAAAACUGGAACCAUGCAGAGGUUAGCAUGCUCCCCGCAGAAGGAUGAUAGCACAUUUGUGAAGCGUUUUAUGCAAUU
Molecule: small nuclear RNA, 103 nt
Filed under: Cebus imitator (Panamanian white-faced capuchin)
Lineage: Eukaryota; Metazoa; Chordata; Mammalia; Primates; Cebidae
Source: RNAcentral